UACAGAGGUCUCAAGCGUUGUUCGGAAUCAUUGGGCGUAAAGCGCGUGUAGGCGGCCCGAUAAGUCCGCUGUGAAAGUCCAGGGCUCAACCCUGGGAUGCCGGUGGAUACUGUCGGGCUCGAGUCCGGAAGAGGCGAGUGGAAUUCCUGGUGUAGCGGUGAAAUGCGCAGAUAUCAGGAGGAACACCAAUGGCGAAGGCAGCUCGCUGGGACGUGACUGACGCUGAGACGCGAAAGCGUGGGGAGCAAACAGG
RNAcentral lists this ribosomal RNA (253 nucleotides) under uncultured bacterium. Its description in RNAcentral is "partial 16S ribosomal RNA". It matches the Rfam family "Bacterial small subunit ribosomal RNA", at positions 524 to 776 of the family's 1533-position model. The record is from RNAcentral.